AAAAUUAAAUAAAUAGACUAACAAAGAGAACCUCAAUCUAAGCAUGGUGCCUGGGAAGUGGCAGCAACUGCUGACUGACCACAGGUGACUUGGAAAUCUCCAGCACCAAGUUGGAGCCACUAAGAGGGCAAAGAAGCAAACCUGAGGCCUCCAGUCAGGCAGAGCAGAAAGGGGACGGCAUAGCUACCUUUCACCUAACAGUUUGAUUCAGAGAGAUGAAAGAGAAAAGCAAACUCUAAAAACCAAGUCAAAAUUGAUGGAGAAAUAAGAUACUUUCAUGAUAAAGAGCACCUCAGGAACUUCAUGAACACCAAACCAGCACUCCAAAAAAUUUUAGACAAUACCCUAGGAAAAGACAAUGAGGAUCACAACCCCAGGAAACCCAGCAGAAUGAAUCCAUUGGGUGUGACAAAUUAAAUGCGAAGGGGGAG
RNAcentral lists this long non-coding RNA (431 nucleotides) under Heterocephalus glaber (naked mole-rat). Its description in RNAcentral is "lncRNA (ENSHGLG00100040238.1)". Lineage: Eukaryota; Metazoa; Chordata; Mammalia; Rodentia; Bathyergidae. The record is from RNAcentral.